Molecule: RNA transcript, 1576 nt
Organism: Esox lucius (northern pike)
Lineage: Eukaryota; Metazoa; Chordata; Actinopteri; Esociformes; Esocidae
Exons: 2
Source: RefSeq, a predicted model, not a curated record
UGCAGAUAUACAAAUGGCUACCUACUCGAGGUGAUGGCCAACACUGAGAGGGAACUAUGCCUAAAUAACACAGAUUGGGUGUCAAGGGUCAUACCCUGAGGAGUCAUUAAUGUUGUCAGGAAAAACACAUUUGUGUUAUUCACUGAGCUGAGAAACACACACCAUCACACCAAAGUUUAAUAAAUGUUUUCCCCCUUGCCAAUUCUGUUUGUAGUUAUGGCCUUGCUUCAUAUCACCAACUUCCCAGCAGUUUCAGGGGAGUUGAAAACCAAGACAUGAAAAGAGAGCACAUUCCCUGGCCAACAACUGUGACUGAGCUCGCAGGCAUCCAAACUACAAGAGGAGACUUUUUUAUUCCAAUGAUGUUUAUCUGAGUGUCACACAAAUAUGUAAACAUUGAAGGGCAAAUCAUUAUUAUUGAUUACAACUACUGUUAUUUGAAUUGGUGUGCAUCAGGGCUGAAGAUAGUAGUAAACAUGUUAAAUGAUAGUUAGUACCUGUGUAUACCAGUGAGUCUCAUCAUCCAAAACCGCAUGCCCUUCAGAGCCAUGAGCCGCAGAAACACCCCUGUACCCAUCCCAUGUCCUAACCCAAACCCUGUACCCAGCUAGCCUUGCACAGCCACCUGAUCCCGCAAGCUCAAAUUAAAACUCUACACAGAUAUCAAUCUGGUCGAGCUGUGAUUCAAAAGGUUUUGGCGUGGGGCAUUUUCCGAUGGGCGUUGAGAAAAGUUCAUUUGAAUGCGAUUGGCUUGACCUUGAACUAAUCAAACCAAGCAAUAAUUCACAACAACAAAAAGUACUUCAAGCAACAGCAAAUAAACAAGCAGAUCAGUAAAUGUAGCUGUCAGCUACUAUCUGAUUAAGAACUCUGAAAACGACUAUUACAAUUUUUGUCACCAACAUUUGUGCAUCAAAGGCACCUUAGCAAGUACCAAAAACAAAAAAAAGAAUACAGCAGAGGAAAAACAUUAUCACAAAAAAACUACUUAAUGUUGAACAUUGCUGAACGUUCAUGAGAAAUCAAUCUGUGUUAGUACUCAUCAUUACCAGACCACACCCAUAAUUCAUGAAAGUGUGCUGAUUGGCGCAGUAAUCUGUAUAGUGUUUAAAUGUGAGCUUGCGGGAUCAGGUGGCUGUUCAAGGCUAGUAUCUAGGCCUAAAUCCUAAAACACCAAUACACCCUACUCAGUAUCCAGGUUGUUCCUGCUGGCAGUGCCUUUUUUCUAUGUAGCCGUGUAUCAGUGUGCGUGUGCAUAAGCAUUUGUGUGUGUUUGUACAACUGGUAUCUAGAUUUAAAUAUAUAUCACGUCUCCUUUCCUUUCCACCAACUUCAACCCCAAGAUUACAUGUCUGCAGUGGAACCCAUAAGAUUGUGUGUGUGUGUGUCUGUUACAUCGGCGUGUGUGUUUUAUUUCAUGGUUCACUUCUUUUGACAUGGUGUUAGUGUCAGAAGAAGCGGACAAUCAAUGCUUUCCAGCAAGCCCCGUUGGGUUAAUCUGGAUAAUUAAAUGUGUAUAUUACAGGUAUCUGUGAAGCUGUAAAGAAACUUAAAUAAAAAUAGCAUCCUUUAAUGA